ACGCAGGGGGCAUAAAUGCAAGUCGAACGAUGAAGGGAGCUUGCUCCUGGAUUAGUGGCGAACGGGUGAGUAACACGUGAGUAACCUGCCCUUAACUCUGGGAUAAGCCUGGGAAACUGGGUCUAAUACCGGAUAUGACUCCUCAUCGCAUGGUGGGGGGUGGAAAGCUUUUUGUGGUUUUGGAUGGACUCGCGGCCUAUCAGCUUGUUGGUGAGGUAAUGGCUUACCAAGGCGACGACGGGUAGCCGGCCUGAGAGGGUGACCGGCCACACUGGGACUGAGACACGGCCCAGACUCCUACGGGAGGCAGCAGUGGGGAAUAUUGCACAAUGGGCGGAAGCCUGAUGCAGCGACGCCGCGUGAGGGAUGACGGCCUUCGGGUUGUAAACCUCUUUCAGUAGGGAAGAAGCGUAAGUGACGGUACCUGCAGAAGAAGCGCCGGCUAACUACGUGCCAGCACGNCCAGGGUAAUAAA
This 475-nucleotide ribosomal RNA is filed under the name Arthrobacter sp. LCR8. Its description in RNAcentral is "bacterial SSU rRNA". It matches the Rfam family "Bacterial small subunit ribosomal RNA", at positions 39 to 527 of the family's 1533-position model. Lineage: Bacteria; Bacillati; Actinomycetota; Actinomycetes; Micrococcales; Micrococcaceae. The record is from RNAcentral.